RNAcentral lists this ribosomal RNA (361 nucleotides) under Bacteroides mediterraneensis. Its description in RNAcentral is "bacterial SSU rRNA". It matches the Rfam family "Bacterial small subunit ribosomal RNA", at positions 1 to 349 of the family's 1533-position model. The record is from RNAcentral. Lineage: Bacteria; Pseudomonadati; Bacteroidota; Bacteroidia; Bacteroidales; Bacteroidaceae.
UUUUACAAUGAAGAGUUUGAUCCUGGCUCAGGAUGAACGCUAGCUACAGGCUUAACACAUGCAAGUCGAGGGGCAGCAUGAACUUAGCUUGCUAAGUUUGAUGGCGACCGGCGCACGGGUGAGUAACGCGUAUCCAACCUUCCGUACACUCAGGAAUAGCCUUUCGAAAGAAAGAUUAAUACCUGAUGGUAUGAUGAGAUUGCAUGAAAUCAUCAUUAAAGAUUCAUCGGUGUACGAUGGGGAUGCGUUCCAUUAGAUAGUAGGCGGGGUAACGGCCCACCUAGUCGACGAUGGAUAGGGGUUCUGAGAGGAAGGUCCCCCACAUUGGAACUGAGACACGGUCCAAACUCCUACGGGAGGC